UACGUAGGGGGCUAGCGUUGUCCGGAAUCAUUGGGCGUAAAGCGCGUGUAGGCGGCCCGGUAAGUCCGCUGUAAAAGUCAAAGGCUCAACCUUUGAAUGUCAGUGGAUACUGCCGGGCUAGAGUCCGGAAGAGGCGAGUGGAACUCCUGGUGUAGCGGUGGAAUGCGCAGAUAUCAGGAAGAACACCGACGGCGAAGGCAGCUCGCUGGGACGGUACUGACGCUGAGACGCGAAAGCGUGGGGAGCGAACAGG
Molecule: ribosomal RNA, 253 nt
Filed under: uncultured bacterium
Lineage: Bacteria
Description: partial 16S ribosomal RNA
Rfam family: Bacterial small subunit ribosomal RNA
Source: RNAcentral